This 51-nucleotide transfer RNA is filed under the name Capra hircus (goat). RNAcentral's name for it is "tRNA-Phe". The record is from RNAcentral. Lineage: Eukaryota; Metazoa; Chordata; Mammalia; Artiodactyla; Bovidae.
UUAAAGCAAGGCACUGAAAAUGCCUAGAUGAGUGUACCAACUCCAUAAACA